UUUUUUUUUUUUUUUUUAGAUGGAGUCUCGUUCUGCUGCCAAGGCUGGAGUACAGUGGCGCGAUCUCGGCUCACUGCAAGCUCCGCCUCCCGGGUUCACGCCAUUCUCCUGCCUCAGCCUCCCGAGUAGCUGGGAGUACAGGCGCCGCCACCACGCCUGGCUGAUUUUUUUUGUAUUUUUACUAGAAACGGGGUUUCACCGUGUCAGCCAGGAUGGUCUCAAUCUCCUGACCUCAUGAUCCACCCGCCUUGGCCUCCCAAAGUGCUGGGAUUACAGGCGUGGGAUCAGCCAGAUUUGACUGCACAGACAGCUUCUGUUAUUCGAUCUGCACACUGUGAAACUAAGUAUGACAAUUUCAGUCCUUUGCAAGAUACAUAGCCUAAUAAUUCUAAUAACCAUAUACUGUUAUGUCUACAUAAGCAGACAGACCAAAAUAAAUUUACUCAAAACUCAAAGCUUUCAAACGGUAAAGAAUAAAUUGAUACAUUUAUGGUUUUAAUCUCAUUGAAUCCUCCAAUAGGAGAGUCACUUGUCUAAGACCUCGCAGCUUUUAAUGAGUAGAGCAGGGAUGAGGGCCCACAUUCAUAUCCAGAGCUCCCGGCAGGGCACCCAGGUUUAUCACCUGAGAAUGGCAUCGAUGAGAGAAGCGGCCAUAGGAGAGGGAAGGGACAUGGAGUGGCCCACCUCCUCACAAGAUAAGACCCUAAUAAUAGGGGCAAGAUGUGAAAAACCAGAGAUGCACAUGCACAAACAGGUUAUCAGUCUCAUGAACACAGAACAUCAUUUGGUAAUGAAACAAAAAUAGUCUAGCCAGGCACAGUGGCUCAUGCUUACAAUCCCAGCACUUUGGGAGGCCGAGGCGGGAGGAUCACUUGAGGCUAGGAGUUGGAGACCAGGGGUUUUUAGAAAUUCCAUCUCUAAAAAAAAAAAAAAAAAGUCAGGAGUUUUUCAGAUCAUUUUAAAGGUGUGACUAGCGCAUACCACAAAAAGAAACUAAAAGAAGAACUAUGAACUAAUAUUCAUUGGGAUUUUAGUUUAACUCUGAUACUUACACCAUAAUGCACAUUCUCUAAGCACUCCAAAUCUCAACUUCCUGUAAAACUAUUUUCCAGAACAUUUGCUUACCCUAUUUAAGAGCAUAACCUUACCACCUUCUCCUCCACAGGCAAGGGCAGUUUGUAUGGAAAAGAGCAUGGCCCUAAAGCCAGCAAGGCAAAAGGAGAAAAAACCUUAUUCUCUUCCUCGUGAUUUAGUGUGGUGAUGCUGUUCAAGCCUUUUUCACCCAUGCUUCCUUUUGAUAAACAUAAAAUAUCUCACGCCCUCC
This 1324-nucleotide long non-coding RNA is filed under the name Macaca fascicularis (crab-eating macaque). Its description in RNAcentral is "lncRNA (ENSMFAG00000063637.1)". Lineage: Eukaryota; Metazoa; Chordata; Mammalia; Primates; Cercopithecidae. The record is from RNAcentral.